RNAcentral lists this ribosomal RNA (497 nucleotides) under uncultured bacterium. RNAcentral describes it as "partial 16S ribosomal RNA". It matches the Rfam family "Bacterial small subunit ribosomal RNA", at positions 28 to 507 of the family's 1533-position model. The record is from RNAcentral.
GAUGAACGCUGGCGGCGUGCCUAAUACAUGCAAGUCGAGCGAACGGACGAGAAGCUUGCUUCUCUGAUGUUAGCGGCGGACGGGUGAGUAACACGUGGAUAACCUACCUAUAAGACUGGGAUAACUUCGGGAAACCGGAGCUAAUACCGGAUAAUAUUUUGAACCGCAUGGUUCAAAAGUGAAAGACGGUCUUGCUGUCACUUAUAGAUGGAUCCGCACUGCAUUAGCUAGUUGGUAAGGUAACGGCUUACCAAGGCAACGAUGCAUAGCCGACCUGAGAGGGUGAUCGGCCACACUGGAACUGAGACACGGUCCAGACUCCUACGGGAGGCAGCAGUAGGGAAUCUUCCGCAAUGGGCGAAAGCCUGACGGAGCAACGCCGCGUGAGUGAUGAAGGUCUUCGGAUCGUAAAACUCUGUUAUUAGGGAAGAACAUAUGUGUAAGUAACUGUACACAUCUUGACGGUACCUAAUCAGAAAGCCACGGCUAACUACGUG